CGAACGUCGGUGAUCGUGGAGCAGCACGCGUUUUAAACAGCGGCAUAUCUCUGUGAAACUUAAUAAAAAUUUUAUUUAAUUCGUUAUAUAGUAAUUUUUAUGGCUUCAUGGAAUAUCACAAUAAUAUACGCGUUGUGAAAUCAUGCAUUAUAUCGCUAUUCGCUAUAUGGCCACGUGUGACAUUUGUCACGCGUCGUACUGCAUUAUAUCAACGUGAUAGAGAGGAUAGAUAAAGAUGAGUCAUUCCAAAUACCUAUGAUUAAUUAAAUCUUGAAGCAAAAUAAGAAGGGUACAGCUUGAUAAGAGAACCGCUGGAAGGAUUUAACAGAUCAUUGGCUUCACGUUAUAGUUUUCACAGCAUUAACUUUAAUUCGCGACUACUUUGCCUGAUUAGUCGACCAUAAUUCUGAAAAUCCUCAGGCAUCUUUAUUAUUGUUAUUGUAUGCAAAACUGCGAUCGCCUCACUCUUAAUUAAACAAAUAUACGUUGACGUCACGCUUGAAAUGAAAGGAACCGCAAGAUCUCUUACCUUUUUCUGUACGAAGUAGAAAAUGUUCUUGUCCAAGCACUAAGAGGAAAUUAAAUUAACGUAAUGUAACACACAGGAAAAUGUUAUGAGGCUCCCUCAUAUCUGGCGUGCACCAUUUGCAAUGAUAUGUCAGUAGCCGACAAUUUCUUCUUAUCACAUUUAUUGUUAUCGUAGCGUUAACUCAUUGGCCAUGCGAUCAUGCUUCAUCGUAUAGAUCGUUGAUCCCACCUUCUCUCUCACUUUCGUGGAUGCAUACGGAUCGAGGUGUUGCGUGCAACGAAGAUAGGCUCUCCCUGUUCUCGCUCGGUGGAAGUAGGUUAAACGAUUGUUCGGCCGAAGCUUGACGAUUCUAAAACCACCUGUUUAUUCGUUCAAAGCAAAAUCAACGCGGUAAAUGUUGUUCAAAGCGAAAUUUCACGAGCAUGUGCAUGCAACCCGAUGGAGAACCAGUAGAAGCGUGUCUCCAUAUCGGUAUACAGCUCCCUUAUUCCCUCUUCAAAUGUAAAAUCCCCUCUUCUUUCAUGGAGAGUUAAACCACUGUGACGCGUUAUUGCAACUUGUUAGUAUGGCUAUGGACGUAUGGAAUAAAAACAGACGUUGAGUUUAAACGUUUUUUUUUAUUCGUAUAUAAGAAAAGUAUCACAAACAAUGUAUCAAAUAAUAAAAUUAUCAUAUAUGUAUAUAAAAUGUAUUUGUGCUGCAAUAUCGGUGCAGUCACGAUUGUAUAAAAUUUGUAAAGAGAUUCUAGAAUCAAGUGAAAAGGGUUUUCAAAAAUUUGUUAGUUGAAUAUUGUCCAAAAGAUCUUAGCUAAGAAUGUAGCAACGUGUUUUUUUGUCCUUUAAUGUAAUACAUUAUAUAAAA
Long non-coding RNA from Megachile rotundata (alfalfa leafcutting bee), 1390 nucleotides. RefSeq lists it as uncharacterized. The record is from RefSeq and is a predicted model, not a curated record. NCBI's taxonomy places the organism in Eukaryota, Metazoa, Arthropoda, Insecta, Hymenoptera, Megachilidae.